RNAcentral lists this long non-coding RNA (751 nucleotides) under Bos taurus (domestic cattle). Its description in RNAcentral is "long non-coding RNA NONBTAT016963". The record is from RNAcentral. Lineage: Eukaryota; Metazoa; Chordata; Mammalia; Artiodactyla; Bovidae.
AUCAACCAUCCCAUACUCUAGAUUCCAAACAUGUUCAGGGUGGCAUGAAAAAUAUUAAGCCUCACUUCUCCACCUCCCCAAGUAUCUGAGGGGAACCUGCUCUUAAACAGUGUGUGUCUAAGAGUAGACACCAGUUUCUCAUUGUCUGGAAGACAAGCCUGAGUGUGAAAGGAGAGGCAGGCUGGGAAAGGGGAGACUUAGUUCCUCAGACAACAGGAAGGAAUUUGAGAUUAUGUACUUAAAAAGAUUAUGUAGUGGCUACUGCAACUCUUAUACGUUCUUCUAGUAAUAUAACCUAUUUUUGUGUACAUGGAGUUGGAAUUUACCUCAGAUGAUACCAUCUCUUCUGGCCCCAUGUCUGUAUUCAUCCAGGAAUAAUCCUUUGUUAAAAAUAAGCCAAUGAGAACCCAUUCUAGAAUAUUUUAUCAAAAAGUCAUCAUGACCAGAUAGCUUGUGUCCUUCUUGCUGUCAGCAGCCAUAUAAAGAAAAUACAUCUCCAUGGGAGAACAUGAUCAGUAUAAAAUUUUCCCACUUAUAGACAUACAAUGGGAAAAGUUGUCAGAAAGAGUGAUUUUAUGUAGUGUGGAAAGGGAAAGACCUCAAUGGGGAGGCCAGCAUGGAGGGACGGAGCCAUUUGAAUAUCUGGAGGAAGCUUAUUAUAGUCGUUAAAGAUACAUUUUCAGAUAAGUAUUAGUCUCCAUUUUCACAAAAUGUUUGGCUCUUCCCAAUAUUACACAUAAAAUUUACAUUU